UACGUAGGGUGCAAGCGUUGUCCGGAAUUAUUGGGCGUAAAGAGCUCGUAGGCGGUUUGUCACGUCGGAUGUGAAACCCUGAGGCUCAACCUCAGGCCUGCAUUCGAUACGGGCAGACUAGAAUUCGGCAGGGGAGACUGGAAUUCCUGGUGUAGCGGUGAAAUGCGCAGAUAUCAGGAAGAACACCCGUGGCGAAGGCGGCUCUCUGGGACGGUACUGACGCUGAGACGCGAAAGCGUGGGGAGCGAACAGG
Molecule: ribosomal RNA, 253 nt
Filed under: uncultured bacterium
Lineage: Bacteria
Description: partial 16S ribosomal RNA
Rfam family: Bacterial small subunit ribosomal RNA
Source: RNAcentral